GAGUUGAUGUUUCAGGGUUUAGAGUUUAUUUCAAAAAAAUUAGGGUUUAGGAUUGAUGGUUUAGGGUUUAGGAUUCGUAUUUCCAAAAAAAUAGGGUUUAGGAUUGAUGGUUUAGGGUUUAGGGUUUGAAUUUUGAAAUAGUAUAAUUCAGAAAAAAAUUAAAAAAAUUAAAAAAAUUAUUUUUUAUUUUUUUAUAUUUUUAUUUAUUUAAAUAUUUAUUUAUUAUAUAUAUAAAGAAGAGUCUUUUGCCACUUAGUGAAGAAUGUAUUUUUGAAAAUGUUACUUUAGUGGUGGUAAAAAUGAAAAAUGGUAGCAUGAAAGUGGUAAACAUGUAAUUUCCCCUAGUUAAUAACCAAUAAAAAACUGUCGAGUGUCAUAUUUUAUUUAUCAUAAAAAUAAAAAGUAAAAACAAUAUUAAUUGCUAACAAAAAAAAUUGACAUUAUAAAAUUUGGUAAACCUUAAAUUUUAUAACUCAAAUUCUAAACACUAAACUUUAAAUACUAGUGCUAAUAUUAAGCCUUAUAGCUCCAUAUUCUAAACACUAAACCCUAAACCCUAAGAUUAAUACUAUACUUAAGAUUAUCCCUAAACUCUAGGAUUUAGAUCUUAA
This 611-nucleotide long non-coding RNA is filed under the name Brassica napus (rape). Its description in RNAcentral is "long non-coding RNA (BNAP_LNC010047)". Lineage: Eukaryota; Viridiplantae; Streptophyta; Magnoliopsida; Brassicales; Brassicaceae. The record is from RNAcentral.